This 422-nucleotide ribosomal RNA is filed under the name uncultured bacterium. Its description in RNAcentral is "partial 16S ribosomal RNA". It matches the Rfam family "Bacterial small subunit ribosomal RNA", at positions 355 to 788 of the family's 1533-position model. The record is from RNAcentral.
UGGGGAAUAUUGGACAAUGGGCGGAAGCCUGAUCCAGCAACGCCGCGUGAGGGAUGACGGCCUUCGGGUUGUAAACCUCUUUCAGUACCGACGAAGCGAAAGUGACGGUAGGUACAGAAGAAGGACCGGCCAACUACGUGCCAGCAGCCGCGGUAAUACGUAGGGUCCGAGCGUUGUCCGGAAUUAUUGGGCGUAAAGGGCUCGUAGGCGGUUUGUCGCGUCGGGAGUGAAAACAGCGGGCUUAACUCGUUGCUUGCUUUCGAUACGGGCAGACUAGAGGUAUGCAGGGGAGAAUGGAAUUCCUGGUGUAGCGGUGAAAUGCGCAGAUAUCAGGAGGAACACCGGUGGCGAAGGCGGUUCUCUGGGCAUUACCUGACGCUGAGGAGCGAAAGUGUGGGGAGCGAACAGGAUUAGAUAACCCU